CCUACGGGGGGCAGCAGUGGGGAAUAUUGGACAAUGGGCGAAGGCCUGAUCCAGCCAUGCCGCGUGUGUGAAGAAGGCCUUCGGGUUGUAAAGCACUUUCAGUGGGGAAGAAAGCCUUGGGGCUAAUACCCUCGAGGAAGGACAUCACCCACAGAAGAAGCACCGGCUAACUCCGUGCCAGCAGCCGCGGUAAUACGGAGGGUGCGAGCGUUAAUCGGAAUUACUGGGCGUAAAGCGCGCGUAGGCGGUCUGAUAAGCCGGUUGUGAAAGCCCCGGGCUCAACCUGGGAACGGCAUCCGGAACUGUCAGGCUAGAGUGCAGGAGAGGAAGGUAGAAUUCCCGGUGUAGCGGUGAAAUGCGUAGAGAUCGGGAGGAAUACCAGUGGCGAAGGCGGCCUUCUGGACUGACACUGACGCUGAGGUGCGAAAGCGUGGGUAGCAAACAGGAUUAGAUACCCCAGUAGUC
RNAcentral lists this ribosomal RNA (465 nucleotides) under Vreelandella stevensii. Its description in RNAcentral is "partial 16S ribosomal RNA". It matches the Rfam family "Bacterial small subunit ribosomal RNA", at positions 338 to 795 of the family's 1533-position model. Lineage: Bacteria; Pseudomonadati; Pseudomonadota; Gammaproteobacteria; Oceanospirillales; Halomonadaceae. The record is from RNAcentral.